AAUCCAUAAAAAUGUAACGACUCUACAAAAAAUGAAAAAAAGAUUGUCGCUGCUAUGUUUAAUAUUAGUGUCAAUAAAUUGUUCUCAAAACAAAAAAAACAUAGAUGAAUUUAUCGAUGAUGUACUGGCGUCAGGAAAGUUCGCACAACUGGCUGAUAUUAUAGCCGAAAAAACAAUAGUUAAAUUAUGGAAUAUGAAAAACAAUAUUUUUUUUAGUACAAAUAGUAAAAAUCGAACAGACGAAACAGUUCGUCGUCAUAUCCAUGCGGUUGAUAAUAAUUCAUUGCGGAAUAUAUCGUUAAAAUAUAGACAAUUAAUCAAUCAUUUAAAUGGAGGGAAUCUUUUGCUCAAAGCAAGUUCCAAAGAAUUCAAAUAUAACAGCAAUGAGGUUAAUACAACGCUCGAGGACGAAGAUAUCGUCACGAAUUCUAAUAGUUCUAAAUUUGAAUUGCCAAAAUCUGAAGAAAAAAUAUUUAAACAAGAGUUGACAACUGACUUUACCACGAUUGGAUUGUCAAUACAAGAACAGAGUGAUUUUUUUAAUAUGAAUAAACAAAGAGACUUGAAUAGAAAAAAUACCGGAAGAAAAGAUGGGAACAAGAUAUUUGUAUUUCAAGCGUCUUCUGAUUACGAUGAGUAUCAUGAAAAAGUGGACAAAAUUUUAAGCAACGAUCCUAAUUAAAAAUCUAUGCCAGGAA
This is a long non-coding RNA of Pieris rapae (cabbage white), 698 nucleotides long. RefSeq lists it as uncharacterized. The transcript has 2 exons. Lineage: Eukaryota; Metazoa; Arthropoda; Insecta; Lepidoptera; Pieridae. The record is from RefSeq and is a predicted model, not a curated record.